AGGCCCCGGUUCCCCACCUUAUAGGGGCGUCCCAUCACAGGCGGUGAAGCAGGUCUGCAGGUGUCUCUCUCUCCCUCUCUGUCUUCCCGUCUUCUCUCCAUUUCUCUCUGCCCUAACAACGACGACACCAAUAACAACAACAAUAAUAACUAUGACAAGGGCAACGAAAUGGAAAAUAAAUUAAUUAAAAAGGAAGAAAGCAAAGCAGAAGAGAAAUGUCGGGUCUGCUCAGGGGUGGGACUAGAUGGAGAAGUUUGUAAAGAAAAAAAAAAGAAAUCUGCAGCUUAAAGCGGCUUACAUCUUCCAAGCAGAAGCCCGUCUUGUGAUGAGCCUGAGGGAGCUUUUCUCAUUCACAGUGUCCUGGAAGGACAUGAAGGAGAAGGAGAAGGUGUUACAUUCACUGCAAAAAAAAAAAAAAAAAAAAAGAAUUGAGGAAGUGAUAUUCUACAAGGAAAGAGGAAAGUGAAGUAGAGAAAAUAAAAGCUCACGUCCACCCCUGGAUGUCUUUUGAGAUUUGGGAUACCCCCUAGGACUCAGUGUCUGCAUUACUCCACUGUUCCUGGCACCCAUUUUUGUUUGUUUGUUUGUUUGACAGAGGGUAAGGGACUGAGAGAAAGAGGAGAUACAGAGAGAAGGAGACACCACAGCUCUGCUCCAAAGCUUGUGAAAAUUCCCCUGUAAGUGGGAAGCAGUGACUCGAACCUGAGUCUUUUUAUCUGCUAACACAUAUCCACUAUUAGGUGCACCACCACCACACCCCAUAGAUUUAUGUCUUUUAUUUUUCAACUAAAGCAUGAAUCAAGUUGCAUGAGUGGUACAAUUUAGUCCCUUUUACUUUUACAGACUUUCUGAUUUUGUUACCGUUUAUUUCUUAGCUACUUGACAGUUAUUUACAUGUUAUUAUAUCAGGCAAAGGGAUUAAAUCAUUUGCUUUGCUUUAAAACUGUUGCUGGACAUUAUUGUCUCACACUGGUGUUCAAGAUUAUCUGUCAUUAUUUAGGUCAUGGCCCAGAUAUAGGCGUAAAGACAGCUGACCUAAGGGGCUGGAAUGAAAACUCACCUUUCCUGACCUCUCACUGAAACAGGCUCUGUUUCUCUCCGUGUGACAGAAGGCAGCCCGCUAAUGAAAACUAUGAGCUUUUAUUUACAGUUGAUAGACUCUUGAGCCCCAGCUGAACACUGACAACGUGCAACCUAUUGAACGUGUUCAAACAAUAAAUUAAAGGAAGCACAUUCCUUCUCUUUAUCAUUUGCAAUUUCUUUUUUUUUAAUCUUUAAUAUUUAUUUAUUUUCCCUUUUGUUGCCUUUGUGGUUUGUUGUUGUUGUUGUUGUUGGUGUAGUUAUUGUUGUUGUUAUUGAUGCCGUCGUUGUUAGAUAGGACAGAGAAAAAUGGAGAGGAGAGGGGGAGACAAAGAUAGACACCUGCAGACUUGCUUCACCGCCAUUGAAGCGACUCCCCUGCAAGUGGGGAGCCAGGGCUCAAACCAGGAUCCUUACACCGGUCCUUGCGCUUCACACCACGUGCGCUUAACCCGCUGCUCUACUGCCCGACUCCCUAUCAUUUGCAAUUUUAUCUAAUUCACCUGGGACUUCAGGGAACCUUAUUCUCUGUUAACCUAUUCUAAGAUGAUUUUAUGGAAAUCCUUUGGUUUAAGAUGACCAAGAAGACAGUAAUAAUAACUAACCCUUAGUUUGGACUUUGUUUAGAUAAGUUUCUUUUUAACUCCUCUUCUUAGGAUGAAAACUUUCCACUGUAAAUUCUUUCUCUGGCAUUUUGAGAAGGAUCGUUAAAAUAUCUCUUAACAGAAAGAAUAAUAUGGGCUGAUCUCACUCAUAAACAGAAGUUGAAAAACAAAAGCAGAAGGGAAAACACAAGCAUAACUUGGACUGGAGUUGGUGUAUUGCACCAAAGUAAAAAAGACUGGGGGGCAGGGGGUGAGGGAGUUCAGGUCCUGGAAGACAGAGGAGGAACUAGUAGGGUUUGAACUGUUAUUUGGAAAACUGAGAAAUGUUACACGUGUACAAACUACUGUAUUUUAUUUUACUGUUGACUGUAAGCCAUUAAUUCCCCAAUAAAGGAAUUUAAAAAAGA
Molecule: long non-coding RNA, 2092 nt
Organism: Erinaceus europaeus (western European hedgehog)
Lineage: Eukaryota; Metazoa; Chordata; Mammalia; Eulipotyphla; Erinaceidae
Exons: 3
Source: RefSeq, a predicted model, not a curated record